CAAAAACUGCAGUGACUUCUGU
RNAcentral lists this microRNA (22 nucleotides) under Macaca mulatta (Rhesus monkey). Its description in RNAcentral is "mml-miR-548h-3p". Its record names the gene mml-miR-548h-3p. The record is from miRBase by way of RNAcentral. Lineage: Eukaryota; Metazoa; Chordata; Mammalia; Primates; Cercopithecidae.